GAAGAAGUAGAAGCCAGGUGUAAAUCUUUAACUAUUAUUGAGGGGAGGCGCCAGGAGGGAGGCUCCUUGAUGGGUGUGGUUUCCACAGGUCACGUGUCCACAUGUUUAGGGUGUAGUUAAAGGAAGUCCUGUAUUUAAACUAAAGUACGAGGAUUAAGAGCUGCAGUGACUCGUUGUGGAUAAAGGUCUCACCAGGUGCAACCAUGUCGUUCAACCUUAAUGAAGCUGUUGGUGGUGAUGAAGAGGUGAAGAAAGACGAGGCCCAAAAAGACCAGUUUAUCUGGGACAAGAAGAAAAAGGACAAGGACAGUGACUCUAAAGACAAGAAAAAAGAAAAGAGCGACAAAACCCACAAAGACGAUGAUUGCAAGAAAGACAAGAAGAAAGACAAGAAGAAAGACAAGGGUGAUGAUGGAGGAAAGAGUCAUGGCAAAGACAAAAAGAAGAAAAACAAGAGUCAUGACAAGGAGAAGAAGAAAGAUGGGAAGGGCUCAUCAUCCUCCUCUUCAUCCUCUUCCUGCUCCAGUGGUGAUGAGCACUGAUCCUUCCUGAAGACCGGCCUGUCUCAUCUUUAAUGUUAUUGAUCAUUGAAUGACUAUUGUAUACUUGUGUUGUCCAUGAUUACAGUGACUAAUGGUGGUGGUGUUAUGAAAUAUAAAACAUCUGAUGAUACAGCCUUUUUUUUUUACGCAUACACCACAUGAUGGCGCUAUUUCUUCCUCUGCAGAUAAAGCAAAGUGUUCCAUAGUUGUUAAAUCUCUCUCCAACAUUGGUUCUUCAGCUUUUUCUGUUGUGUUCCAGCCUUUGAGUGAUGAAAGAAUUCCAGGGCCACCAUCCAAACAAAAUAGAUGAAAAUCUAACCUUUGUUGAAAAAUGUCAAAAUAGUGACCAUUCUUUUUCAAAACUAUUUCAAAAAUUAAAAUAUGUAAUCACACUGUAAGCUUUAUUUUCUGGACAAUAAAAAGGUAAGGCCGUUCUUACCA
This 983-nucleotide long non-coding RNA is filed under the name Gouania willdenowi (blunt-snouted clingfish). RNAcentral describes it as "lncRNA (ENSGWIG00000021635.1)". The record is from RNAcentral. Lineage: Eukaryota; Metazoa; Chordata; Actinopteri; Blenniiformes; Gobiesocidae.